GGUUAAGCGACUAAGCGUACACGGUGGAUGCCCUGGCAGUCAGAGGCGAUGAAGGACGUGCUAAUCUGCGAUAAGCGCCGGUAAGGUGAUAUGAACCGUUAUAACCGGCGAUUUCCGAAUGGGGAAACCCAGUGUGAUUCGUCACACUAUCAUUAACUGAAUCCAUAGGUUAAUGAGGCGAACCGGGGGAACUGAAACAUCUAAGUACCCCGAGGAAAAGAAAUCAACCGAGAUUCCCCCAGUAGCGGCGAGCGAACGGGGAGGAGCCCAGAGCCUGAAUCAGCAUGUGUGUUAGUGGAAGCGUCUGGAAAGGCGCGCGAUACAGGGUGACAGCCCCGUACACAAAAGCGCAUGUGCUGUGAGCUCGAUGAGUAGGGCGGGACACGUGGUAUCCUGUCUGAAUAUGGGGGGACCAUCCUCCAAGGCUAAAUACUCCUGACUGACCGAUAGUGAACCAGUACCGUGAGGGAAAGGCGAAAAGAACCCCGGCGAGGGGAGUGAAAAAGAACCUGAAACCGUGUACGUACAAGCAGUGGGAGCACCCUUCGGGGUGUGACUGCGUACCUUUUGUAUAAUGGGUCAGCGACUUAUAUUCUGUAGCAAGGUUAACCGUAUAGGGGAGCCGGAGGGAAACCGAGUCUUAAUUGGGCGUUAAGUUGCAGGGUAUAGACCCGAAACCCGGUGAUCUAGCCAUGGGCAGGUUGAAGGUUGGGUAACACUAACUGGAGGACCGAACCGACUAAUGUUGAAAAAUUAGCGGAUGACCUGUGGCUGGGGGUGAAAGGCCAAUCAAACCGGGAGAUAGCUGGUUCUCCCCGAAAGCUAUUUAGGUAGCGCCUCGUGAAUUCAUCUCCGGGGGUAGAGCACUGUUUCGGCUAGGGGGCCAUCCCGGCUUACCAACCCGAUGCAAACUGCGAAUACCGGAGAAUGUUAUCACGGGAGACACACGGCGGGUGCUAACGUCCGUCGUGAAGAGGGAAACAACCCAGACCGCCAGCUAAGGUCCCAAAGUCAUGGUUAAGUGGGAAACGAUGUGGGAAGGCCCAGACAGCCAGGAUGUUGGCUUAGAAGCAGCCAUCAUUUAAAGAAAGCGUAAUAGCUCACUGGUCGAGUCGGCCUGCGCGGAAGAUGUAACGGGGCUAAACCAUGCACCGAAGCUGCGGCAGCGAACGUAUCACCCAAGACAACUUUACGGAGUUGACGAUUGACGGAGCGAAGCGACGUCAAAGCGUUCAUUAAAGUCGAGUUGGCUUAGGGAUACGUUCGUUGGGUAGGGGAGCGUUCUGUAAGCCUGUGAAGGUGUGUCGUGAGGCAUGCUGGAGGUAUCAGAAGUGCGAAUGCUGACAUAAGUAACGAUAAAGCGGGUGAAAAGCCCGCUCGCCGGAAGACCAAGGGUUCCUGUCCAACGUUAAUCGGGGCAGGGUGAGUCGACCCCUAAGGCGAGGCCGAAAGGCGUAGUCGAUGGGAAACGGGUUAAUAUUCCCGUACUUGGUGUUACUGCGAAGGGGGGACGGAGAAGGCUAUGUUGGCCGGGCGACGGUUGUCCCGGUUUAAGCGUGUAGGUGUGUGUUCCAGGUAAAUCCGGUUCACUUUAACACUGAGGCGUGACGACGAGGCACUACGGUGCUGAAGCAACAAAUGCCCUGCUUCCAGGAAAAGCCUCUAAGCAUCAGGUAACACGAAAUCGUACCCCAAACCGACACAGGUGGUCAGGUAGAGAAUACCAAGGCGCUUGAGAGAACUCGGGUGAAGGAACUAGGCAAAAUGGUGCCGUAACUUCGGGAGAAGGCACGCUGACACGUAGGUGAAGUGAUUUACUCAUGGAGCUGAAGUCAGUCGAAGAUACCAGCUGGCUGCAACUGUUUAUUAAAAACACAGCACUGUGCAAACACGAAAGUGGACGUAUACGGUGUGACGCCUGCCCGGUGCCGGAAGGUUAAUUGAUGGGGUCAGCGCAAGCGAAGCUCCUGAUCGAAGCCCCGGUAAACGGCGGCCGUAACUAUAACGGUCCUAAGGUAGCGAAAUUCCUUGUCGGGUAAGUUCCGACCUGCACGAAUGGCGUAAUGAUGGCCAGGCUGUCUCCACCCGAGACUCAGUGAAAUUGAACUCGCUGUGAAGAUGCAGUGUACCCGCGGCAAGACGGAAAGACCCCGUGAACCUUUACUAUAGCUUGACACUGAACAUUGAGCCUUGAUGUGUAGGAUAGGUGGGAGGCUUUGAAGCGUGGACGCCAGUCUGCGUGGAGCCGACCUUGAAAUACCACCCUUUAAUGUUUGAUGUUCUAACGUGGACCCGUGAUCCGGGUUGCGGACAGUGUCUGGUGGGUAGUUUGACUGGGGCGGUCUCCUCCUAAAGAGUAACGGAGGAGCACGAAGGUUGGCUAAUCCUGGUCGGACAUCAGGAGGUUAGUGCAAUGGCAUAAGCCAGCUUGACUGCGAGCGUGACGGCGCGAGCAGGUGCGAAAGCAGGUCAUAGUGAUCCGGUGGUUCUGAAUGGAAGGGCCAUCGCUCAACGGAUAAAAGGUACUCCGGGGAUAACAGGCUGAUACCGCCCAAGAGUUCAUAUCGACGGCGGUGUUUGGCACCUCGAUGUCGGCUCAUCACAUCCUGGGGCUGAAGUAGGUCCCAAGGGUAUGGCUGUUCGCCAUUUAAAGUGGUACGCGAGCUGGGUUUAGAACGUCGUGAGACAGUUCGGUCCCUAUCUGCCGUGGGCGCUGGAGAACUGAGGGGGGCUGCUCCUAGUACGAGAGGACCGGAGUGGACGCAUCACUGGUGUUCGGGUUGUCAUGCCAAUGGCACUGCCCGGUAGCUAAAUGCGGAAGAGAUAAGUGCUGAAAGCAUCUAAGCACGAAACUUGCCCCGAGAUGAGUUCUCCCUGAGACUUAGAGUCUCCUGAAGGAACGUUGAAGACGACGACGUUGAUAGGCCGGGUGUGUAAGCGCAGCGAUGCGUUGAGCUAACCGGUACUAAUGAACCGUGAGGCUUAACCUU
Molecule: ribosomal RNA, 2990 nt
Filed under: Salmonella enterica subsp. enterica
Lineage: Bacteria; Pseudomonadati; Pseudomonadota; Gammaproteobacteria; Enterobacterales; Enterobacteriaceae
Also listed under: 1 other name
Description: 23S ribosomal RNA
Rfam family: Bacterial large subunit ribosomal RNA
Source: RNAcentral